This 366-nucleotide unclassified non-coding RNA is filed under the name uncultured bacterium. RNAcentral describes it as "contains 16S-23S intergenic spacer region". The record is from RNAcentral.
UCCCGGUUGGCCCGGGCGGUCUCGUAUGAAAUGAGUAACAUACGACAAGGGUUGCGCUCGUUGCGGGACUUAACCCAACAUCUCACGACACGAGCUGACGACGGCCAUGCAGCAUCUGUCACCGCGUUCCCUUGCGGGCACGGUCUCCUUUCGGAGACUUUCGCGGGAUGUCAAGCCUCGGUAAGGUUCUUCGCUUAGCGUCGGAUUAAACCACAUGAUCCUCUGCUUGUGCGGGUCCCCGUCAAUUCCUUUGAGUUUUAAGCUUGCGCUCGUACUCCCCAGGCGGGACACUUAACGCGUUAGCUUGGUAACGCAGAGGGUCGAAUCUCCACAUUACGAGUGUCCAUCGUUUACGGCGUGGACUAC